GUGUCAGCCGCCGCGGUAAUACGGGGGGGGCAAGCGUUGUUCGGAAUUACUGGGCGUAAAGGGUGCGUAGGCGGCUUUCUAAGUUGGAUGUGAAAACUAUGGGCUCAACCCAUAGCCUGCAUCCAAAACUGGAGAGCUUGGGUUCUGGAGGGGAAAGCGGAAUUCCAGGUGUAGCGGUGAAACGCGUAGAUAUCAGGAGGAACACCGGUGGCGAAGGCGGCUUUCUGGACAGACACCGACGCUGAGGCACGAAAGCUAGGGGAGCAAACAGGAUUAGAUACCCGUGUAGUCC
RNAcentral lists this ribosomal RNA (292 nucleotides) under uncultured bacterium. Its description in RNAcentral is "partial 16S ribosomal RNA". It matches the Rfam family "Bacterial small subunit ribosomal RNA", at positions 505 to 796 of the family's 1533-position model. The record is from RNAcentral.